Molecule: ribosomal RNA, 470 nt
Filed under: uncultured bacterium
Lineage: Bacteria
Description: bacterial SSU rRNA
Rfam family: Bacterial small subunit ribosomal RNA
Source: RNAcentral
AUUGAACGCUGGCGGCAGGCCUAACACAUGCAAGUCGAGCGGCAGCACUUCGGGUGGCGAGCGGCGGACGGGUGAGUAACACGUAGGAAUCUACCUAGUAGUGGGGGAUAGCCCGGGGAAACUCGGAUUAAUACCGCAUACGCUCUACGGAGGAAAGGGGGCUUCGGCUCUCGCUAUUAGAUGAGCCUGCGUCGGAUUAGCUAGUUGGUAGGGUAAAGGCCUACCAAGGCUACGAUCCGUAACUGGUCUGAGAGGAUGAUCAGCCACACCGGAACUGAGACACGGUCCGGACUCCUACGGGAGGCAGCAGCGGGGAAUAUUGCGCAAUGGGCGAAAGCCUGACGCAGCCAUGCCGCGUGUGUGAAGAAGGCCUUCGGGUUGUAAAGCACUUUCAGUGGGGAGGAAAGAGCCCAGGCUAAUACCCUGGGUCGUUGACGCUACCCACAGAAGAAGCACCGGCUAAUUCCGUG